GACGAACGCUGGCGGCGUGCUUAACACAUGCAAGUCGAACGGAAAGGCCCUGCUUUUGUGGGGUGCUCGAGUGGCGAACGGGUGAGUAACACUGGAGUAACCUGCCCUUGACUUUGGGAUAACUUCAGGAAACUGGGGCUAAUACCGGAUAGGAGCUCCUGCUGCAUGGUGGGGGUUGGAAAGUUUCGGCGGUUGGGGAUGGACUCGCGGCUUAUCAGCUUGUUGGUGGGGUAGUGGCUUACCAAGGCUUUGACGGGUAGCCGGCCUGAGAGGGUGACCGGCCACAUUGGGACUGAGAUACGGCCCAGACUCCUACGGGAGGCAGCAGUGGGGAAUAUUGCACAAUGGGCGGAAGCCUGAUGCAGCAACGCCGCGUGCGGGAUGACGGCCUUCGGGUUGUAAACCGCUUUCGCCUGUGACGAAGCGUGAGUGACGGUAAUGGGUAAAGAAGCACCGGCUAACUACGUG
Molecule: ribosomal RNA, 468 nt
Filed under: uncultured bacterium
Lineage: Bacteria
Description: partial 16S ribosomal RNA
Rfam family: Bacterial small subunit ribosomal RNA
Source: RNAcentral